This 492-nucleotide ribosomal RNA is filed under the name uncultured bacterium. RNAcentral's name for it is "partial 16S ribosomal RNA". It matches the Rfam family "Bacterial small subunit ribosomal RNA", at positions 30 to 507 of the family's 1533-position model. The record is from RNAcentral.
AGUGAACGCUGGCGGUAGGCCUAACACAUGCAAGUCGAACGGCAGCACAGUAAGAGCUUGCCCUUACGGGUGGCGAGUGGCGGACGGGUGAGGAAUACAUCGGAAUCUACUCUUUCGUGGGGGAUCACGUAGGGAGACUUACGCUAAUACAGCAUACGCCCUACGGGUGAAAGCAGGGGAUCUUCGCACCUUGCGCGGUUGAAUGAGCCGAUGUCGGGUUAGCUAGUUGGGGGGGGAAAGGCCCACCAAGGCGACGAUCCGUAGCUGGUCUGAGAGGAUGGUCGGCGACCUUGGAAGUGGGACACGGACCAUGCUCCUACGGGAGGCACCAGUGGGGAAUAUUGGGCAAUGGGCGCAAGUCUGAUACAACCAGAGCGCGUGGGAGAAGAAGGCCUUCGGGUUGUGAAGCCCUUUUUUGGGGAAAGAAAAGCAGCAGGUUGAGACCCCGCGGGUGUGACGGUAAUCAAAGAAGAAGCACCGGCUAACUUCGUG